GACGAACGCUGGCGGCGUGCUUAACACAUGCAAGUCGAACGGAAAGGCCCUGCUUUUGUGGGGUGCUCGAGUGGCGAAAGGGUGAGUAACACGUGAGUAACCUGCCCUUGACUUUGGUAUAACUUCAGGAAACUGGGGCUAAUACCGGAUAGGAGCUCCUGCUGCAUGGUGGGGGUUGGAAAGUUUCGGCGGUUGGGGAUGGACUCGCGGCUUAUCAGCUUGUUGGUGGGGUAGUGGCUUACCAAGGCUUUGACGGGUAGCCGGCCUGAGAGGGUGACCGGCCACAUUGGGACUGAGAUACGGCCCAGACUCCUACGGGAGGCAGCAGUGGGGAAUAUUGCACAAUGGGCGGAAGCCUGAUGCAGCAACGCCGCGUGCGGGAUGACGGCCUUCGGGUUGUAAACCGCUUUCGCCUGUGACGAAGCGUGAGUGACGGUAAUGGGUAAAGAAGCACCGGCUAACUACGUG
This 468-nucleotide ribosomal RNA is filed under the name uncultured bacterium. Its description in RNAcentral is "partial 16S ribosomal RNA". It matches the Rfam family "Bacterial small subunit ribosomal RNA", at positions 28 to 507 of the family's 1533-position model. The record is from RNAcentral.